GUGAAGCCCACCUCAAGAUGAGAUUUCCCAUAGCAUAAGCUAGUAAGACCCCUUGAAGACUACAAGGUUGAUAGGUCAGAGGUGUAAGUGCGGUAACGUAUUUAGCUGACUGAUACUAAUAGGUCGAGGGCUUGACCAA
This 139-nucleotide ribosomal RNA is filed under the name Clostridium butyricum. RNAcentral's name for it is "partial 23S ribosomal RNA". It matches the Rfam family "Bacterial large subunit ribosomal RNA", at positions 2787 to 2925 of the family's 2925-position model. Lineage: Bacteria; Bacillati; Bacillota; Clostridia; Eubacteriales; Clostridiaceae. The record is from RNAcentral.